UCCGUAGGCGGGCAAUUAAGUCAGUGGUGAAAGCCCGGAGCUCAACUCCGGAACUGCCAUUGAUACUAUUAAUCUUGAAUACAGUUGAGGUGGGCGGAAUGUGUAGUGUAGCGGUGAAAUGCUUAGAUAUUACACAGAACACCGAUUGCGAAGGCAGCUCGCUAAACUGUUAUUGACGCUGAGGCACGAAAGCGUGGGGAGCGAACAGGAUUAGAUACCCUGGUAGUCC
This 229-nucleotide ribosomal RNA is filed under the name uncultured bacterium. RNAcentral describes it as "partial 16S ribosomal RNA". It matches the Rfam family "Bacterial small subunit ribosomal RNA", at positions 568 to 796 of the family's 1533-position model. The record is from RNAcentral.